Haliaeetus leucocephalus (bald eagle) is the source of this 6435-nucleotide RNA transcript. It is a transcript of the gene named mitogen-activated protein kinase kinase kinase kinase 3, with no coding region annotated. The record is from RefSeq and is a predicted model, not a curated record. The transcript is spliced from 32 exons. Lineage: Eukaryota; Metazoa; Chordata; Aves; Accipitriformes; Accipitridae.
GGCUGGGGGGCGGCGGUGAGAGCUCCGGUGUCGGGUUCCCUCUCCCACUUCUCCCCGGGCUGGGGGGCCGCGGCCGAGCGGGGCCUUGCCUUGGCACCAUGAGCGGCGGCGGGCGGGUGUGCGACCUGUCCCGGCGCAACCCCCAGGAGGACUUCGAGCUCAUCCAGCGCAUCGGCAGCGGCACCUACGGCGACGUCUACAAGGCUCGAAAUGUCAACACUGGUGAGCUAGCAGCAAUUAAAGUAAUAAAACUAGAACCAGGAGAAGAUUUUGCUGUUGUGCAGCAGGAAAUCAUUAUGAUGAAAGACUGUAAACAUCCAAACAUUGUUGCUUAUUUUGGCAGCUAUCUCAGACGAGACAAGCUAUGGAUUUGCAUGGAGUUUUGUGGAGGUGGCUCUCUACAGGAUAUUUAUCAUGUGACUGGACCACUUUCAGAACAGCAGAUUGCCUAUGUUAGCAGAGAAACACUACAGGGACUAUAUUAUCUUCACAGUAAAGGAAAAAUGCACAGAGAUAUCAAGGGAGCAAACAUCCUUUUAACGGAUAAUGGACAUGUAAAAUUAGCUGAUUUUGGAGUAUCUGCACAGAUUACAGCUACAAUUGCCAAAAGGAAGUCAUUCAUUGGCACCCCGUAUUGGAUGGCACCAGAAGUUGCUGCAGUAGAAAGAAAAGGUGGCUAUAACCAACUCUGUGAUCUGUGGGCAGUUGGAAUAACUGCUAUAGAGCUUGCUGAACUUCAGCCUCCGAUGUUUGACCUACAUCCAAUGAGGGCGCUUUUUCUAAUGACAAAAAGCAACUUCCAGCCUCCUAAGUUAAAGGACAAAAUGAAAUGGUCCAAUAGUUUCCAUCAUUUUGUGAAAAUGGCACUUACAAAAAAUCCUAAAAAAAGACCUACAGCUGAAAAGCUACUACAGCAUCCUUUUGUUACCCAACCAUUAAAUCGAAGUCUUGCUAUUGAACUUUUGGAUAAAAUGAAUAAUCCCGAUCAUUCCGCUUACCAUGAUUUUGAUGAUGAUGAUCCUGAGCCUCUUGUAGUGCCUCAUAGAAUUCAUUCGACAAGUAGAAACGUGAGAGAAGAAAAGACACGCUCUGAAAUAAACUUUGGUCAAGUAAAAUUUGAUCCACCCUUGAGGAAAGAGACAGAGCCACAUCAUGAAUUCGAUCUACAGCUAGAAGAAUAUGGUCAUGGUCCUCAGUGUGGCUACUUCUUGGGUGCAAAUAAGAGUCUCUUAAAAUCAGUUGAAGAAGAACUGCAUCAGCGGGGUCAUGUGGCACAUUUAGAAGAUGAUGACGAUGCAGACGAUGAUGCUAAACAUGCUACUAUGAAACCUAAAGUGCCACCUCCUUUACCCCCAAAGCCUAAAUCCAUCUUUAUCCCCCAAGAAACACAUCCUUCUGAAAAUGAUAAUCAAGGGACAAUCAAGAGAUGCCCAACAUCAGAGAGUCCAGCAAAAUCUGCAUCUCAGGUUCCACCCAGACCGCCACCUCCUCGGUUACCUCCACAGAAAUCUAAUGCUUUAGGUAAUGGAGUCACUUCUGUACAAUUAAAUGGUGAAAGAGAGGGAUCACCACAUCAACAGAAUGAAGCUAGAGACACUACUUUUUCAAGGAAAGAAAAGAAGGAAAUACUGAAACCAAUUAGUAAUGGCCUUCCUCCCACACCCAAAGUACACAUGGGUGCUUGCUUUUCAAAGGUUUUCAAUGGCUGUCCAUUAAAAAUUCAUUGUGCAACAUCAUGGAUAAAUCCAGAUACAAGAGAUCAGUACUUGAUAUUUGGUGCAGAAGAAGGUAUUUACACACUGAACCUCAAUGAACUUCAUGAAACAUCAAUGGAGCAGCUAUUUCCUCGAAGGUGUACAUGGUUAUAUGUCAUGAACAAUUGCUUGUUAUCAAUAUCUGGUAAAGCUUCUCAGCUUUAUUCCCAUAAUCUACCAGGACUCUUUGAUUAUGCAAGGCAAAUGCAAAAGUUACCCGUUGCUAUUCCAGCACAUAAACUCCCUGACCGAAUACUUCCCAGGAAGUUUGCAGUGUCUACAAAAAUUCCUGAUACUAAAUGGUGUCAGAAGUGUUGUGUUGUGAGGAAUCCCUACACAGGCCACAAGUACCUUUGUGGAGCACUACAGUCUAGCAUUGUUUUGUUAGAAUGGGUUGAACCAAUGCAAAAAUUUAUGUUAAUCAAGCACAUAGAUUUUCCUGUACCUUGUCCACUGAGAUUGUUUGAAAUGCUGGUAGUCCCUGAGCAGGAAUUCCCUUUAGUUUGUGUCGGUGUCAGCAGAGGAAAAGACUUCAACCAGGUGGUAAAGUUUGAGACUGUCAACCCAAAUUCUACCUCUUCGUGGUUUACAGAAACAGGUUUGUGUGCUGUUGUAAUAGCAUUCAGAAAUGUUACUUGCUCUUCUGUUACAGCUGAAGCACUAGAAAGGUACUUUCCUCUGAAGAAACUAAUGGUUAAAUCAUUAAGACUAAGUGAUUGUUGUUAAGUUCUCUGUUUAAAGGGGUAUCUGUUGUACCUGCUUCCACAUGCACUUUUUUUGCCCGUUGCUACUUGUUGAACUGAUUGGAUUUCUUGAGAUUUUGAGUAUAGCAGAGGAUGGAGUUGUGGUUUCUUGCAUUUACAUAAAUCAGGCUGUACUUGACUAUUAUCCAUUGUGUUGUUCUGUGCUCUACCCUGGCACCAUGAUUUCUGUUUAUUUAAUAGGUUUUAAUAGAAUUGCACUCUAAGCGAUUUCUUUCAACAUAUCUGUAGGUGUGGUUUGGCUCUCCUGCAAUAAGCCAGUGUGGUUAGAAAUGGUGUUAUCAGCUGCCUGCUGAGAGAGAGCAUAUUUCUAUUCUCCCAAUGUUUAUGGAAAGCAAAAGGGAUUAGGACCACUGUUAGCAGGAACCAAGUACCUGUCCAUGUCUGUCACUGGUCUGGGUGCUGUGAGUGAGGAGGCCACCAUCUGAGCAACAGUAGAAAUUCUCUUAAGAAGGAAGUGCACUAAGAAUUACUUUUCUAGAGUUACAAGGUUCCCCCCAUAAAACUAGGUAAAGUAGUGAGCUGACCCCAGUCACGCCUUGCAGGUUUAGAAGCAGUAAAUAGCUUUGUUAUUACCAGACAUCAAGCCCUUCUUGAUCCAUGAUGAACUUACAUAUAGCCCUCUGCUGGCAUAUAUAUGUGUAUGAGUCCUGCUGAUUGUGUACCAUGGAAUUGACUGAAAAGAACAGUUUCCAUUAGGAAGAUGCCUGCUGACUUUCUUGCUGCUGAAAAGUAUGUCAGAUUUUGACACAGUUUAAAGCAUAGUUACAAAAGUGAUUAGUGGAUGGCCAAUUAAUGCACUUAACUACUUCAGAGUUAGUGCAUUUUAUUUUCAAACUCACACAUCUACAUUAUGUAACUGUGACUUCAGUAGAGUACAUAAAAGUAGCAUGCUGGAGAGAAAUUCUUUGACCCAUUAUGUCCUGUUGUCAUUCUUCUCUCAGUAUUGUCUGCAUCAGUGUGUAAAUACAAGAAUAGUAAUCCCUGCCCUGUACCUUUUUUUAAUGUGCAAAAUUUAACAUUGCUUUGUGCCUUCCAAAAAUACUUCUUUACCUUCCUUGAAUCAUUUGUGCGUUCUCAUGUUGUGUCUAUGUUGUCAUUUUCUCCUAUGUGUUUGACUCUAAUUUAAACCCUCAUGUUGUAUUAGUUUAUUCCUGUCCCCUGCUGGCAGGAGAGCAAUAAUGCAAUGAAACAGAUUUUUCAGUGUUUUUUAAAUGAGGAAAUUGUGUACCAUGUGGUCACAAAUAGCUUCUGUCAAAUAGUAGUUUUCAUUGUUUGACACUUGACUUUUUUUGUAGAUGUCUGAUAAAGUUGUUUUAAAAAAAUUAGCUGGCAGAGACUUACUGCAGGGCGUUUCUCCCCUUCCCAUCCUUCUCCUGUUAGCUUCAGCCAGUGCAGUGAAUGUGUCCACAUCGCAUAAUGUGGUUGCACAGAUGUAUAUCCUCCAGUCCUUCUGUUGCAUGCUUUCAUCAUGGCUAUAGCCACCUUUGGUUAAGAUCAUGCAUUAGAAAUUGGCUAAGAUCAUAAAUGUAUGGCUUCCAAAACAAACAGCAAAAAAGAGAUGGAGGGACCAUCUCAAGGAGCACAUUUCUGCUAUCAUCCUUGAGGAGUUUUUUUGCUUCUCAACAGGACCAUGGAUUUUAUUAUUUAACUGAAAGCUGCUUUUGUAUUUUAGGUAACAUGCUCUAAUUUCUUAUCUCUAACAGAUUUAAUGAGUUUCUCUUUUCUGUAUGAAAGAAUGCCUACAGAAUCGCUGGCAGUAAUGCUGAAUUAGUAAAAGCUGCUUUCUGUGUAAUUUUGUGUUAAAAAAAUGGACCAAAACUACAUUUCUCUUUUGAGUUGACGUGUCCACUAAUCACGGGUCAGAUCCCCCUGUUUGCUGUGAUGGAGACUGCUGCAGCUGUAACCCAGAAGAGAGGAAGCUUCAGUUUUCCUGUCACAGUCAACAUGUUGGAUAAGUGGACAUGCCUCUCUAAGAGAAGAGAAAUGUCACUGGUAAGAUGAUUAUUUUAAGUAGAUAAAACCACACUAACCCAUUAAAUUGUCUCAAUCUCUAGAAGUUCCAUUUCAAAUUUCAUGCUAAUUUAUGUUAUGAACUAACACUGUCAUUUUUUUAUAGACACUACAGAGACAAGUGUUGUACAUGUAACACAGCUGGAGAGGGAUACCAUUUUGGUGUGUUUGGAUUGUAAGUUUUAGUAUCAACUAAAUAUAUACGUAUGCAUGUACAUGCAUACUGUCUGUCUUCAAAUUAGGUCAUAUAUUGAAGGUCAAUUCUUGGUUGACGUAUCCUGUUUAUUGUCUAGGCUGCAUAAAAAUAGUGAAUCUGCAAGGCAGGUUAAAAUCCAGCCGCAGACUGUCAUCGGAGCUCACGUUUGACUUUCAGAUUGAAUCAAUAGUCUGUCUACAAGACAGCGUGUUAGCAUUCUGGAAACACGGCAUGCAAGGAAGGAGUUUUCGAUCAAAUGAGAUCACACAAGAAAUUUCUGAUAAUACGAGGAUAUUCAGGCUUCUGGGAUCUGACAGGGUCGUGGUCCUGGAGAGUAGGCCGACGGAUAACCCAACAGCCAACAGCAAUUUGUAUAUCCUGGCAGGGCAUGAGAACAGUUACUGAGAACAGCGCAUGGCAGGCAGCUGACCGUGACAAGAGAACACUCCUACUGCAGCAGCAUUCAUGGCUGGCUGAAAUUGCACAAAAGCUGCAGUAACCCCACUUCAGUUACUUUAUAAUUUAUUGUGGCAUAAGAGGAAGAUGAGAAUUGUUUGUGGUAUGGACACAUAAGCAUUAUGAUACCACAGAAGUGCUUAAUUUACUGUUAUGUAAUCUUUGUACAUAUGCAGUAUUUUUCAGUGAAACUUCUUGCUGAAGACCUACACUGACCUUCUGUAGAUAGCGGUCCUCCUGUUAAGUACAAGUGUCUUACCUGUACAGAUGUAAAAGUCACUGAGGAUGCAAAAAUGAAAUCGGGGUACUAUUUUAAGGACUUCUUGUGUUUAUUAUAAAGUGGGAUGCUAGCAACAAAUAUAGUACAUUUAACAACACUAUUGUAUUUUAUUAUAUGUAAUUUACUAAUACAAGUAAAUCUUAACUUUUAGAAAUCGUAACCAAGGCUGUAAUCAGAUUACAAUCUUGUUUUAAUUUUGAUGCAACACACUGGUGUUCAUGUUUGCACAACGUAUUGAGAUGUGAUGUAUUUAGUCACAAAGGUAAGCUGUGACUUUGUGGAUAUGACUUGGGCUUCAAAGUUUCUUUUUUUAGUUUACUUGGGUAGUUUUCUUUGUGAAACAAACCAGCUAAACACCUGUAUUUUUAUAUUUAAUUAAAACUCUCCUUACGAUUACUUCUCUAUGCUUGAAAACAAUACUUUCUGGUUGGAUGUCAGUCCCAGACUAGUGGUACCUGGCUGCAACACUGCAAUAGGUGUUUGAAUUAUUAGUGUAUACAGUGAUUAAAAAUUGGUAUUACUGUUGGUCUUACUAAAUGGUUUCAUAUCACAGUGAAAAGGAGUGACAUUCCACAUUGUGGAAAUGGCUCAAAGAUGUUGCCAUUUUGACUUUUUUUUGGCCUUACAACCAUUUUCACACUUUUCUUGAUUUAGGAUGUUAACACAUGGCCAAAAUAAUUUAGUUACUACCUCAUUCAAACAAUACAAUGGUUACUAUGCAUCACAGGAACUUAGUUUUGAUCAGAAGUAUUUUUGAUUGCUAUUUUCCAAUGGAGUAUGUAAAUGCCAAGUUUUAGCAAAAUGCACACAUUUGACUCCUUUUUUUUUGUAUAUGUUCUUUAUAUUUUAUUGUGAUAAUAUACACUAAAACCAAACUAAAUUUAAAGUGAUUUAUGGCCUGCGUUAUUGUUGUGAUGGGUAAUGCUUUGAAAUAUGUUCCCUACUGUAUAUAAUGUAAAAUAAACUUUUUUAACA